RNAcentral lists this ribosomal RNA (483 nucleotides) under uncultured bacterium. Its description in RNAcentral is "bacterial LSU rRNA". It matches the Rfam family "Bacterial large subunit ribosomal RNA", at positions 810 to 1295 of the family's 2925-position model. The record is from RNAcentral.
UGUGGGUCGGAGUGAAAGGCUAAUCAAACCCGGAGAUAGCUGGUUCUCCCCGAAAGCUAUUUAGGUAGCGCCUCGCGUCUCACUCUCGGGGGUAGAGCACUGUUUCGGCUAGGGGGCCAUCCCGGCUUACCAACCCGAUGCAAACUCCGAAUACCGAGAAGUGCAAUCGCGGGAGACAGACGGCGGGUGCUAACGUCCGUCGUCAAGAGGGAAACAACCCAGACCGCCAGCUAAGGUCCCCAAAUCAUGGCUCAGUGGCAAACGAGGUGGGAAGGCCCAGACAGCCAGGAGGUUGGCUUAGAAGCAGCCACCCUUUAAAGAAAGCGUAAUAGCUCACUGGUCGAGUCGGCCUGCGCGGAAGAUUCAACGGGGCUUAAGCCAUGUACCGAAGCUGCGGAUGCGGGCAACCGCAUGGUAGGGGAGCGUUCCGUAGGCCGGUGAAGGUGUGCCGUCAGGCAUGCUGGAGGUAUCGGAAGUGCGAAU